UGGGGAAUUUUGGACAAUGGGGGAAACCCUGAUCCAGCCAUCCCGCGUGUGCGAUGAAGGCCUUCGGGUUGUAAAGCACUUUUGGCAGGAAAGAAACGUCAUGGGUUAAUACCCCGUGAAACUGACGGUACCUGCAGAAUAAGCACCGGCUAACUACGUGCCAGCAGCCGCGGUAAUACGUAGGGUGCAAGCGUUAAUCGGAAUUACUGGGCGUAAAGCGUGCGCAGGCGGUUCGGAAAGAAAGAUGUGAAAUCCCAGAGCUCAACUUUGGAACUGCAUUUUUAACUACCGGGCUAGAGUGUGUCAGAGGGAGGUGGAAUUCCGCGUGUAGCAGUGAAAUGCGUAGAUAUGCGGAGGAACACCGAUGGCGAAGGCAGCCUCCUGAGAUAACACUGCCGCUCAUGCACGAAAGCGUGGGGAGCAAACAGG
Molecule: ribosomal RNA, 429 nt
Filed under: Acidobacteriota bacterium
Lineage: Bacteria; Pseudomonadati; Acidobacteriota
Description: Acidobacteria bacterium partial 16S ribosomal RNA
Rfam family: Bacterial small subunit ribosomal RNA
Source: RNAcentral